Molecule: ribosomal RNA, 497 nt
Filed under: uncultured bacterium
Lineage: Bacteria
Description: partial 16S ribosomal RNA
Rfam family: Bacterial small subunit ribosomal RNA
Source: RNAcentral
GAUGAACGCUGGCGGCGUGCCUAAUACAUGCAAGUCGAGCGAACGGACGAGAAGCUUGCUUCUCUGAUGUUAGCGGCGGACGGGUGAGUAACACGUGGAUAACCUACCUAUAAGACUGGGAUAACUUCGGGAAACCGGAGCUAAUACCGGAUAAUAUUUUGAACCGCAUGGUUCAAAAGUGAAAGACGGUCUUGCUGUCACUUAUGGAUGGAUCCGCGCUGCAUUAGCUAGUUGGUAAGGUAACGGCUUACCAAGGCAACGAUGCAUAGCCGACCUGAGAGGGUGAUCGGCCACACUGGAACUGAGACACGGUCCAGACUCCUACGGGAGGCAGCAGUAGGGAAUCUUCCGCAAUGGGCGAAAGCCUGACGGAGCAACGCCGCGUGAGUGAUGAAGGUCUUCGGAUCGUAAAACUCUGUUAUUAGGGAAGAACAUAUGUGUAAGUAACUGUGCACAUCUUGACGUUACCUAAUCAGAAAGCCACGGCUAACUACGUG